This 636-nucleotide long non-coding RNA is filed under the name Pongo abelii (Sumatran orangutan). Its description in RNAcentral is "lincRNA". Lineage: Eukaryota; Metazoa; Chordata; Mammalia; Primates; Hominidae. The record is from RNAcentral.
UUCAAAUGAUGGGGAAGCCGGGCAUCACUGAGAGCUGAGAAGACUCGCUUGUUCGUGCUUACUCGAAAGCAGAAGAGGCCUGGGAACUUCAGGUGGCGACUCUCGUGUUUCUGACUUUGGCUACCAGCAAACACUGCUGGAGGCUCUGCCCCGUCCACACCCAGCUUCUGUGAGCACGGAGGAGGCAUAAUCUGCAGAGUCUGACACAGGCCAUGCCUGACCAUCCUUGGCUGGCUACCUCCAGUGACACAGAACUGAGAAGCAAAGACGCCCAGGAGGCUGCAGUCAUUUAGCAGAGUGGACGGAUGCCAGGGCUGUGCUGCCUGCAGCCUUUGUGGGGCUCAGUGACCAGAUGGGCAGCCCAUGCCAAGCCCAGUCCCCAGGGAUGCUGCCUGCGGUGCUCACGCAUCUUAUACAGGGACACACAAGAACUCUGGGCUCGACCCUGCAGCCUCUGCUCCAGCAUGCGGUGGUCCCAAGAGAUGUAGAACCAGCCCUUCCUCUGCAGUUGCACUGGUGAGAAGGGGGCUGUCUGCAAGCCAGGAAGAGGGCUCUCACCAGAACCCAACUCAGCUGGUACUGUCUCCAGCUUCCAAACUCCAGAACUGUGAGAAAUAAAUGUGUGUUGUUAUUAAA